RNAcentral lists this ribosomal RNA (621 nucleotides) under Naganishia uzbekistanensis. RNAcentral describes it as "partial large subunit ribosomal RNA". It matches the Rfam family "Eukaryotic large subunit ribosomal RNA", at positions 34 to 618 of the family's 3401-position model. The record is from RNAcentral. Lineage: Eukaryota; Fungi; Basidiomycota; Tremellomycetes; Filobasidiales; Filobasidiaceae.
UUGCAUAUCCAAAUAAGCGGAGGAAAAGAAACUAACAAGGAUUCCCCUAGUAACGGCGAGUGAAGCGGGAAGAGCUCAAAUUUGAAAUCUGGUAGCCUUCGGCUGCCCGAGUUGUAAUCUAGAGAAGUGUUUUCCGUGCCGGCCCAUGUACAAGUCCCUUGGAACAGGGCGUCAUAGAGGGUGAGAAUCCCGUCCUUGACAUGGACCCCCGGUGCUUUGUGAUACACUUUCAACGAGUCGAGUUGUUUGGGAAUGCAGCUCAAAAUGGGUGGUGAAUUCCAUCUAAAGCUAAAUAUUGGCGAGAGACCGAUAGCGAACAAGUACCGUGAGGGAAAGAUGAAAAGCACUUUGGAAAGAGAGUUAAACAGUACGUGAAAUUGUUGAAAGGGAAACGAUUGAAGUCAGUCAUGCUCUUUGGAUUCAGCCGUUCUGCGGUGUAUUUCCAUUGAGUGGGGUCAACAUCAGUUUUGACCGCUGGAUAAAGGCACUAGGAAGGUAGCACUCUCGGGUGAACUUAUAGCCUAGCGUCAUAUACAGUGGUUGGGACUGAGGAACGCAGCAUGCCUUUAUGGCCGGGAUUCGUCCACGUACAUGCUUAGGAUUUAACAAAAAUUUUUUUUU